AUACGUAGGGGGCGAGCGUUGUCCGGAAUGAUUGGGCGUAAAGGGCGCGUAGGCGGCCCGGUAAGUCUGGAGUGAAAGUCCUGUUUUUAAGAUGGGAAUUGCUUUGGAUACUGUCGGGCUUGAGUGCAGGAGAGGUAAGUGGAAUUCCCAGUGUAGCGGUGAAAUGCGUAGAGAUUGGGAGGAACACCAGCGGCGAAGGCGACUUACUGGACUGUAACUGACGCUGAGGCGCGAAAGUGUGGGGAGCAAACAGGAUUAGAUACCCUGGUAGUCCACACUGUAAACGAUGAAUGCUAGGUGUAAGAGGUAUCGACCCCUUUUGUGCCGGAGUUAACACAAUAAGCAUUCCGCCUGGGGAGUACGGCCGCAAGGUUGAAACUCAAAUGAAUUGACGGGG
RNAcentral lists this ribosomal RNA (397 nucleotides) under uncultured bacterium. Its description in RNAcentral is "partial 16S ribosomal RNA". It matches the Rfam family "Bacterial small subunit ribosomal RNA", at positions 523 to 918 of the family's 1533-position model. The record is from RNAcentral.